Molecule: ribosomal RNA, 450 nt
Filed under: uncultured bacterium
Lineage: Bacteria
Description: partial 16S ribosomal RNA
Rfam family: Bacterial small subunit ribosomal RNA
Source: RNAcentral
GUGGGGAAUAUUGGACAAUGGGCGCAAGCCUGAUCCAGCCAUGCCGCGUGUGUGAAGAAGGCCUUCGGGUUGUAAAGCACUUUUGUCCGGGAAGAAAUCUUCCAGGUUAAUACCCUGGGAGGCUGACGGUACCGGAAGAAUAAGCACCGGCUAACUUCGUGCCAGCAGCCGCGGUAAUACGAAGGGUGCAAGCGUUACUCGGAAUUACUGGGCGUAAAGCGUGCGUAGGUGGUUCGUUAAGUCUUCCGUGAAAGCCCCGGGCUCAGCCUGGGAAUGGCGGUGGAUACUGGCGGGCUAGAGUGCGGUAGAGGGUGGUGGAAUUCCCGGUGUAGCAGUGAAAUGCGUAGAGAUCGGGAGGAACAUCUGUGGCGAAGGCGGUCACCUGGACCAGCACUGACACUGAGGCACGAAAGCGUGGGGAGCAAACAGGAUUAGAUACCCGGGUAGUCC